RNA transcript from Manihot esculenta (cassava), 3832 nucleotides. It is a transcript of the gene named protein FLOWERING LOCUS D, with no coding region annotated. The transcript is spliced from 6 exons. Lineage: Eukaryota; Viridiplantae; Streptophyta; Magnoliopsida; Malpighiales; Euphorbiaceae. The record is from RefSeq and is a predicted model, not a curated record.
AAACAAAAACAAAAAAACAAAAAAACCGAGUACAGCAGCAGCGCAGAAGACGAGCAGAGAAAAGAAAGAACAAAGAGAAAAAAGAUUUGCAGCUUAGAUUCUCCUCUAUCAGUCCAUAUCCCUCUCUAAUUCCCACUCUGCUCCUUUAAUCAACACCACAAUGAACCCAUCAACACCAAUUCCCGAAGAUUUCUCUUCUCUUCCUCUCGAAUUCAUUCCAUAUCCUCCUCUUCCUGAUCCUACUCCUGCUCCUGCUCCUACUCCUAAUCCCAAUCCCAAUCCCAAUUCAAUCUCAAAUCCCACUCUCUCCCUCAACUCAAAUCCUAAUCACUUCUUCUCCUUCUCCGUCCCUAAGAAACGCCGUCGCGGCCGCUCCCAACGCACCGCCGCUACCUCUACGUCGUCGUUUCAGCUUCCUCAGCUUCCUCAAUUUCAUACCAAACCUGACAUCCGUGUAUUACAAACCCCUAACCCUAAUCCUAAUCCAUAUCCUAGUGCACUAACUCAACAGUCAGUUCCCGACAUUGCUGAAGAGAUAAUUGUGAUCAACAAGGAAUCCACAUCCGAGGCAUUGAUUGCACUCUCCGCAGGAUUUCCCGCUGAUUCCUUAACAGACGAGGAAAUUGAAGCUGGCGUAGUUUCAGUUAUUGGUGGAAUUGAGCAGGUUAAUUACAUCAUUAUUAGAAACCAUAUAAUUGCGAAAUGGCGCGAGAAUGUGAACAAUUGGAUAGCCAAAGAAAUUUUCACAAAUUCGGUGCCGAAACACUGUCACGGUCUUCUGGAUUCUGCUUAUGACUAUCUAGUUUCGCGCGGGUACAUCAAUUUUGGAGUCGCACAAUCUAUUAAAGAGAAAAUCCCCAAUGAGUUUACUAAGUCCAACAUAAUCAUCAUCGGUGCUGGUUUGGCUGGAUUGGCCGCUGCGAGACAGUUGAUGAGAUUUGGGUUUAAGGUUACAGUUUUGGAGGGAAGAAAACGCGCUGGUGGGAGAGUUUAUACCAAGAAAAUGGAGGGAGGAGGAGUAAAUAAGGUUUCUGCUUCGGCAGAUUUAGGUGGGAGUGUUUUGACAGGGACUUUGGGAAAUCCUUUGGGAAUUUUGGCAAGACAGUUAGGGCAUUCAUUGCACAAGGUGAGAGAUAAAUGUCCACUCUAUAGUGUCGAUGGGAAACCAGUUGAUUUGGAUACUGAUAUGAAGGUUGAAACAGCUUUUAAUCGACUGUUGGAUAAGGCUAGUAGGCUUAGGCAGUUGAUGGGGGAGGUUUCAAUGGAUUUGUCAUUAGGGGCAGCAUUAGAAACUUUUAGGCAGGUGUAUGGGGAUGCAGUGAAUAAGGAGGAAAUAAACUUGUUUAAUUGGCAUUGUGCAAAUUUGGAAUAUGCCAAUGCUGGUUUAUUGUCAAAGCUUUCUUUGGCGUUUUGGGACCAGGAUGAUCCCUAUGAUAUGGGAGGAGAUCAUUGUUUUAUGCCUGGAGGAAAUGGGAGGUUGGUUCAGGCUUUAGCAGAAAAUGUGACUAUUUUGUAUGAGAAGACCGUGCAUACUAUUAGGUAUGGGAGUGAUGGCGUGCAGGUUAUUUCUGGAACUCAGGUUUUUGAAGGAGAUAUGGCAUUGUGCACAGUUCCACUUGGGGUAUUGAAGAGUGGGUCCAUAAAGUUUAUUCCUGAAUUGCCGCAGAAGAAGCUUGAUGGGAUUAAGAGGUUGGGGUAUGGGCUGUUGAAUAAGGUUGCAAUGCUUUUCCCGUACGUGUUCUGGGAAACUGAUCUUGACACUUUUGGGCAUUUGACUCAUGACUCGAGCACUCGAGGGGAGUUCUUUUUGUUUUAUAGCUAUGCAACAGUUUCUGGUGAACCUCUAUUGAUUGCGCUGGUAGCAGGUGAAGCUGCACAUAAGUUUGAGAGUAUGCCUCCCACAGAUGCAGUGACACAGGUUCUUCAGAUUCUUAAGGGUAUAUAUGAACCAAAGGGAAUCACUGUUCCUGAGCCCAUCCAAACUGUCUGUACAAGAUGGGGUAGUGAUCCUUUUACCCUUGGUUCUUACUCAAAUGUUGCUGUUGGAGCGUCUGGAGAUGACUAUGAUAUAUUAGCAGAAAGUGUUGGGGAUGGAAGACUCUUCUUUGCCGGGGAAGCCACCACUAGGCGUUAUCCUGCAACCAUGCAUGGUGCCUUUCUCACUGGUUUAAGGGAAGCUGCAAAUAUAGCUCGCUGUGUUAGUGCUCGAACCUUGAAGAUGAAGGUUGGUCGGAGCCCUUCAAAGAAUGCUCAUAACUGUGCUUCUCUUCUAGUUGAUUUAUUUAGGGAGCCUGAUUUAGAAUUUGGGAGCUUUGCUACCAUUUUUAGUCAAAAGAAUGCUGAUCCAAAGUCCACAGCUAUUCUGAGGGUGACAUUUAAUGAGCCUCGAAGAAAAAGUCAGGAAAGUUGUGGGUCAGACCAACAACAUUCCAAUAAAUUACUUUUUCAGCAGCUUCAGUCGCAUUUUAAUCAGCAACAACACCUUCAUGUUUACACACUGUUAUCAAAACAACAAGCUUUUGAGCUAAGAGAGGUGAGAGGGGGCGAUGAAAUAAGGUUGAAUUAUCUAUGUGAGAAGUUAGGAGUGAAGCUGGUAGGAAGAAAGGGUCUGGGGCCUGCUGGUGAUUCUCUUAUUGCUGCUAUUAAAGCUGAGAGGGGCAGUCGCAAAGCCAUGCCUUCUUCUUUGGCUCUUAAAGUGGGCACUUUGAAGGGGACAUCAAAGCUAAAGACAGGCACUUUGAAGCAGAAAUUGAUAAGGCGGGCUAAAGUCGUGAGUAACAGCAAUAGGUUGGUUCCAUCUCCCAAUUUAAAUGCAGUAAAUGGUCAAGUCACAGAGGAAAACGUGACUGCAAGUCAGACACAUUCUGAUAUAUCUGGUCCAGGGCAAAGUCAAGUUGACGGAUUGAAGAAUGAGCAGAUGACACCCUUCGGCUGACAGUUGAGAUGUUGUGUAACUACUGAUGGUAUUUGGAUUGAAUUUGGACGUCACUGUUGAAUCCAUCAACAAAGGCCAAUUGGACCACUUCGAAAGCACUACUCCCAACUGUUUGAAGAUAACUGUAGCAGGGUGCCAGCUUUGAUAUUUUCUAAUUACCAUCUGCAGUAUCCUUCACUAGGAAGCUCCAAUUCUUUGAAGUCUGUAAGAGAAGUGCUGCAGAGACUCUGGACAAAGUCAGGUUCUAGGCAGAUUAGAAACUGUUGUAAGGGGAGUAACAAAGGGCCUGUCUCAAGCACAAUUGAAGUAAACUCUAGAAGAGGAAAUGAGCUUCAAGGCAAAAGAAGAGGGAAUCAGUGAUCUGUUACUGGCAGGAGAUUCUUGAAGAAGAUCGUUAGAGCAAGAAGCGGGGGAAGUGACACGUGGAAGAGGAUUCUAUGGAGGGCUCAAGUUGUUAAAAGGGUAGGUGUGGAGAAUUUUCUUCAUUGUAAAGGGAAGAUGAUUUCCUUCUCUGCAGUAUUAAUCUCCUGGUGGAUGUUAAAUUGCCCAUUCGAAGUUACUGUAAUAACAAGACCGCUGUCAAUAUAGCUGCUAAUCAUGUUUUUCACGAGAGACCGCAUAUUACAUUGAUUGUCAUAUUGUUAGGGUGCAACUCCAAAGAGGCUUCAUCCGCACUUCCCAUCUGUCAACAAAGGAGCAACUUACAGACAUCCUUACCAAGCCGUUGUCUGCUGAUCAACAUCAAUACCUGUCUUCCAAGUUGAAUAUGUUGUCUAUCCCAGCUUCAACUUGAAAGGGGAGAGGGAGGGGAGUGUAGAGAAUAUUAGAGUAUAUUCUUUGUAAUUUGUUGUUUAUUUGUACUUGAUUGAUAAAUAAUUAGUGAUAGGACUGUUUUGG